RNAcentral lists this ribosomal RNA (398 nucleotides) under uncultured bacterium. RNAcentral's name for it is "bacterial SSU rRNA". It matches the Rfam family "Bacterial small subunit ribosomal RNA", at positions 27 to 416 of the family's 1533-position model. The record is from RNAcentral.
GAACGAACGCUGGCGGCGCGCCUAAUACAUGCAAGUCGAGCGAGAAGACGUAGCAAUACGUUUGUAAAGCGGCGAACGGGUGAGGAAUACAUGGGUAACCUACCCUCGAGUGGGGAAUAACUAGCCGAAAGGUUAGCUAAUACCGCGUACGCUCCUUGGACUUCGGUUCAGGGAGGAAAGCGAUACCGCGGGUAUCGCGCUCUUGGAUGGGCUCAUGUCCUAUCAGCUUGUUGGUGAGGUAACGGCUCACCAAGGCUUCGACGGGUAGCUGGUCUGAGAGGACGAUCAGCCACACUGGCACUGCGACACGGGCCAGACUCCUACGGGAGGCAGCAGUAAGGAAUAUUGCGCAAUGGGCGAAAGCCUGACGCAGCGACGCCGCGUGGGGGAUGAAGGUC